GGUUAUGGCUUAGUGGUAGAGUGCUUGCCUCACAUGCAUGGGGCACUGGGUUCGAUCCUCAGCACCA
Molecule: transfer RNA, 67 nt
Filed under: Marmota monax (woodchuck)
Lineage: Eukaryota; Metazoa; Chordata; Mammalia; Rodentia; Sciuridae
Description: tRNA.Val
Rfam family: tRNA
About the family: Transfer RNA (tRNA) molecules are approximately 80 nucleotides in length.
Source: RNAcentral